This 1428-nucleotide ribosomal RNA is filed under the name uncultured organism. RNAcentral's name for it is "16S ribosomal RNA". It matches the Rfam family "Bacterial small subunit ribosomal RNA". The record is from RNAcentral.
GUGCUUAACACAUGCAAGUCGAACGGAAAGGCCCUGCUUUUGUGGGGUGCUCGAGUGGCGAACGGGUGAGUAACACGUGAGUAACCUGCCCUUGACUUUGGGAUAACUUCAGGAAACUGGGGCUAAUACCGGAUAGGAGCUCCUGCUGCAUGGUGGGGGUUGGAAAGUUUCGGCGGUUGGGGAUGGACUCGCGGCUUAUCAGCUUGUUGGUGGGGUAGUGGCUUACCAAGGCUUUGACGGGUAGCCGGCCUGAGAGGGUGACCGGCCACAUUGGGACUGAGAUACGGCCCAGACUCCUACGGGAGGCAGCAGUGGGGAAUAUUGCACAAUGGGCGGAAGCCUGAUGCAGCAACGCCGCGUGCGGGAUGACGGCCUUCGGGUUGUAAACCGCUUUCGCCUGUGACGAAGCGUGAGUGACGGUAAUGGGUAAAGAAGCACCGGCUAACUACGUGCCAGCAGCCGCGGUGAUACGUAGGGUGCGAGCGUUGUCCGGAUUUAUUGGGCGUAAAGGGCUCGUAGGUGGUUGAUCGCGUCGGAAGUGUAAUCUUGGGGCUUAACCCUGAGCGUGCUUUCGAUACGGGUUGACUUGAGGAAGGUAGGGGAGAAUGGAAUUCCUGGUGGAGCGGUGGAAUGCGCAGAUAUCAGGAGGAACACCAGUGGCGAAGGCGGUUCUCUGGGCCUUUCCUGACGCUGAGGAGCGAAAGCGUGGGGAGCGAACAGGCUUAGAUACCCUGGUAGUCCACGCUGUAAACGGUGGGUACUAGGUGUGGGGUCCAUUCCACGGGUUCCGUGCCGUAGCUAACGCUUUAAGUACCCCGCCUGGGGAGUACGGCCGCAAGGCUAAAACUCAAAGGAAUUGACGGGGCCCCGCACAAGCGGCGGAGCAUGCGGAUUAAUUCGAUGCAACGCGUAGAACCUUACCUGGGUUUGACAUGGAUCGGGAGUGCUCAGAGAUGGGUGUGCCUCUUUUGGGGUCGGUUCACAGGUGGUGCAUGGCUGUCGUCAGCUCGUGUCGUGAGAUGUUGGGUUAAGUCCCGCAACGAGCGCAACCCUUGUUCACUGUUGCCAGCACGUUAUGGUGGGGACUCAGUGGAGACCGCCGGGGUCAACUCGGAGGAAGGUGGGGAUGACGUCAAGUCAUCAUGCCCCUUAUGUCCAGGGCUUCACGCAUGCUACAAUGGCUGGUACAGAGAGUGGCGAGCCUGUGAGGGUGAGCGAAUCUCGGAAAGCCGGUCUCAGUUCGGAUUGGGGUCUGCAACUCGACCUCAUGAAGUCGGAGUCGCUAGUAAUCGCAGAUCAGCAACGCUGCGGUGAAUACGUUCCCGGGGCUUGUACACACCGCCCGUCAAGUCAUGAAAGUUGGUAACACCCGAAGCCGGUGGCCUAACCGUUGUGGGGGAGCCGUCGAAGGUGGGACUGGUGAUUAGG